CAGCGUCAAGAGGAAAGUCCGGGCAACGCAGAGCAUCAUACUUCCUAACGGAAAGCUGCCGGCGACGGCAGGGGUAAUGUAACAGAGAAUAACCGCCGCGGCCACGGCUGCGGUAAGGGUGAAAAGGCGGGGUAAGAGCCCACCGGCCGGAAUGGCGACAUCCCGGGCCGUACAUCCUAUGAGUUGCAAGGCCAAGUAUACCGGCAGAUAAGGAUUGCUCGUCCUUUGCCGGGGGGUAGGCUGCUUCAGCCCGCUGGCAACAGCGCGGCGUAGAUAAAUGACAGAACCGGCGUCCCUAAGCGGAUGCCGCGACAUAACCCGGCUUACAGCGCUUCU
Molecule: RNase P RNA, 336 nt
Filed under: pig gut metagenome
Description: Bacterial RNase P class A
Rfam family: Bacterial RNase P class A
About the family: Ribonuclease P (RNase P) is a ubiquitous endoribonuclease, found in archaea, bacteria and eukarya as well as chloroplasts and mitochondria. Its best characterised activity is the generation of mature 5'-ends of tRNAs by cleaving the 5'-leader elements of precursor-tRNAs. Cellular RNase Ps are ribonucleoproteins.
Source: RNAcentral